This 323-nucleotide long non-coding RNA is filed under the name Jatropha curcas. RNAcentral's name for it is "long non-coding RNA (JCUR_LNC000917)". Lineage: Eukaryota; Viridiplantae; Streptophyta; Magnoliopsida; Malpighiales; Euphorbiaceae. The record is from RNAcentral.
GGAUUAUUCACACCAGAAGUACCUUCUCCCGAUGGGACCCUUACCCUUCUUAGUGACUGACUAGAAUCUGUUUCUUCUCUUAAUGGGGGCUUGAUUAGUGUCGGAAAACCCGAAGUAAGUGUUAAAAAGAGUUUUAUCAUUUUUAAUUUUAUUUAUUUAUUAUAUUUAAUUUUAUUUAUUUUUUAAUUUUAUUAAUUUUAUUUAUUUAUUAUAUUUUUUUAUUUGUAUUUGUGAAGGCAUAAAUACUAAUUGCGAAUGCCAACGUUAGACUAGCCAUCCACAUAGCAAUGUUUAACGAAGAUCUCUCGCACGGAAUAUCAUCA